AGGUGGAAUACUUAACGCUUUCGGAAUGCCUAGGCACACUCCGGCGAAGAAGGACGCAGCAAACAGCGAAAUGCGACGGUGAGCGGUAAGCACGUGAAGAGCCGUCGAUAUCCGAAUGGGGGAACCCACACGGAGUCAUAUCCGUGUAUCACAUGUCGAAUACAUAGACAUGAUGAGGCGAGACGCAGGGAACUGAAACAUCUAAGUACCUGCAGGAAGAGAAAAUAAGAAUGAUUUUCUGAGUAGCGGCGAGCGAAAGGGAAAGAGCCCAAACCGAUUUGAGGAUCGGGGUAGUAGGAUCAUCGAUAAAUCAAACAGAGGAUCAUAGAGGAAUCACAUGGGAAGGUGAGCGAGAGAGGGUGAGAGCCCCGUACUCGAAAUGAGAGACUGGAGAGAGAUGACACCUGAGUAGGGCGGGACACGAGAAAUCCUGUCUGAAUCAGCCGGGACCAUCCGGCAAGGCUAAAUACGAGAGAGUGACCGAUAGUGAACCAGUACCGUGAGGGAAAGGUGAAAAGAACCCCGGGAGGGGAGUGAAAGAGAACCUGAAACCAUAUGCCUACAAGAAGUCAGAGCCCGUUAAAGGGUGAUGGCGUGCCUUUUGUAGAAUGAACCGGCGAGUUACUGUAUGGAGCGAGGUUAAGCAGGAUAUGCGGAGCCGAAGCGAAAGCGAGUCUUAAGAGGGCGCGAGUUGCAUGCAGUAGACCCGAAACCGGGUGAUCUAGCCAUGACCAGGUUGAAGUUGGGGUAAAACCCGAUGGAGGACCGAACCGACCCCCGUUGAAACGUUGGCGGAUGAGUUGUGGCUAGGGGUGAAAUUCCAAUCGAACCCGGAGAUAGCUGGUUCUCCCCGAAAUAGCUUUAGGGCUAGCGUCGAGAGAAGAGUUGCGUGAAGGUAGAGCACUGAAUAUGUGAUGGCCCCAUCUCGGGGUACUGAGCAUAAUCAAACUGCGAAUGUCACGCCAACAUGCUCGGCAGUCAGACAGCGGGUGAUAAGGUCCGUUGUCAAGAGGGAAACAGCCCAGACCAUCAGCUAAGGUCCCAAAAUGUAUGCUAAGUGGAAAAGGAUGUGGAGAUGUACAGACAACUAGGAGGUUGGCUCAGAAGCAGCCAUCCUUUAAAGAGUGCGUAACAGCUCACUAGUCGAAUGACUCUGCGCCGAUAAUUUACCGGGGCUAAGCAUACUACCGAAGCUAUGGAUCCCAAGGGAUGGUAGGGGAGCGUUCCAUGAACGGAGAAGUACGACCGAAAGGACGUGUGGAGAUCAUGGAAGAGAGAAUGCCGGUGUGAGUAGCGGAACGUGGGUGAGAAUCCCACGCACCGAAAACCCAAGGUUUCCAGAGGAAGGUUCGUCCGCUCUGGGUAAGUCGGGACCUAAGGCGAGGCCGAAAGGCGUAGUCGAUGGACAACAGGUAGAGAUUCCUGUACCCGUAUAUAUGUGAAGGAAUGACGGAGAGAGGAAGCUGCAGCCAGCGGCUGGAAGAGCUGGUGCAAGCGAGAUAUCGGGAUGGCAGGCAAAUCCACCAUCCGAAACGAGAAGGCGUGAAGCGUACGGAAAGCUACGGCGAGUACGGAAGGCAGUGGAGGAACUUCCAAGAAAAGUUUCUAACGUUAAGUAUAUAUGGCCCGUACCGAAAAUGGACACACAUGGGUGAGGAGAGAAUCCUAAGGUGAGCGAGAGAACUAUAGCUAAGGAACUCUGCAAAAUGACUCCGUAACUUAGGGAGAAGGAGUGCUCAUAGAGAUAUGAGCCGCAGUGAAACGGCCCAAGCGACUGUUUACCAAAAACACAGCUCUCUGCUAAGCCGCAAGGCGAAGUAUAGGGGGUGACGCCUGCCCGGUGCUGGAAGGUUAAGGGGAGGGGUUAACGCAAGUGAAGCCCUGAACUGAAGCCCCAGUAAACGGCGGCCGUAACAAUAACGGUCCUAAGGUAGCGAAAUUCCUUGUCAGGUAAGUUCUGACCCGCACGAAAGGCGUAACGAUUUGGGCGCUGUCUCAGCUGUAGACUCGGUGAAGUCUUAGUACCUGUGAAGAUGCAGGUUACCCGCGACUAGACGGAAAGACCCCAUGGAGCUUCACUGCAGGUUGAUAUUGGGAUUUGAUGCAGCAUGUACAGGAUAGGUAGGAGGCAAAGAGAUGGAUACGCCAGUAUUCAAGGAGCCGCUGUUGGGAUACUACCCCUGUUGUAUUGGAUUUCUAACCGGACGACGUAGAGCCGUUGACGGGACAGUGUCAGUCGGGCAGUUUGACUGGGGCGGUCGCCUCCCAAAGAGUAACGGAGGCGCCCAAAGAUACCCUCAGCUUGGAUGGAAACCAAGCGCAGAGUGCAAAGGCAAAAGGGUGUUUGACUGCGAGACCCACAAGUCGAGCAGGGACGAAAGUCGGGCUUAGUGAUCCGGCGGUGCUGAAUGGAAAUGCCGUCGCUCAACGGAUAAAAGUUACCCUGGGGAUAACAGGCUGAUCUCCCCCAAGAGUUCACAUCGACGGGGAGGUUUGGCACCUCGAUGUCGGCUCAUCGCAUCCUGGGGCUGUAGUCG
Molecule: ribosomal RNA, 2537 nt
Filed under: Streptococcus infantis
Lineage: Bacteria; Bacillati; Bacillota; Bacilli; Lactobacillales; Streptococcaceae
Description: partial 23S ribosomal RNA
Rfam family: Bacterial large subunit ribosomal RNA
Source: RNAcentral